GGCGAACGGGUGAGUAACACGUGGGUGAUCUGCCCUGCACUUCGGGAUAAGCCUGGGAAACUGGGUCUAAUACCGGAUAGGAGCCAUUUCUAGUGUGAUGGUUGGAAAGUUUUUUCGGUGUAGGAUGAGCUCGCGGCCUAUCAGCUUGUUGGUGGGGUAAUGGCCUACCAAGGCGGCGACGGGUAGCCGGCCUGAGAGGGUGGACGGCCACAUUGGGACUGAGAUACGGCCCAG
RNAcentral lists this ribosomal RNA (234 nucleotides) under uncultured Actinomycetales bacterium. RNAcentral's name for it is "partial 16S ribosomal RNA". It matches the Rfam family "Bacterial small subunit ribosomal RNA", at positions 97 to 334 of the family's 1533-position model. The record is from RNAcentral. Lineage: Bacteria; Bacillati; Actinomycetota; Actinomycetes; Actinomycetales.